This 253-nucleotide ribosomal RNA is filed under the name uncultured bacterium. RNAcentral's name for it is "partial 16S ribosomal RNA". It matches the Rfam family "Bacterial small subunit ribosomal RNA", at positions 524 to 776 of the family's 1533-position model. The record is from RNAcentral.
CACGUAGGGCGCGAGCGUUGUCCGGAAUUAUUGGGCGUAAAGAGCUCGUAGGCGGCCUGUUGCGUCCGCUGUGAAAGCCCGGGGCUUAACCCCGGGUCUGCAGUGGAUACGGGCAGGCUAGAGGUAGGUAGGGGAGAAUGGAAUUCCCGGUGUAGCGGUGAAAUGCGCAGAUAUCGGGAGGAACACCGGUGGCGAAGGCGGCGACCUGGUCCGAUACUGACGCUGAGGCGCGAAAGCGUGGGGAGCAAACAGG